This is a long non-coding RNA of Drosophila sulfurigaster albostrigata, 1990 nucleotides long. RefSeq lists it as uncharacterized. NCBI's taxonomy places the organism in Eukaryota, Metazoa, Arthropoda, Insecta, Diptera, Drosophilidae. The transcript is spliced from 3 exons. The record is from RefSeq and is a predicted model, not a curated record.
UUUAAUAUACAUAUAAUGCAAAAAAUACUGAAUACCGAAAUGUAUAAUUGGUUUAUUGAUAUAUUAAGUGCUGUCCAAAAAAAUCUUUGAGAUCUACGUUUUCCUACAUACAGACAUGUCUGAUCAAGAAUAUAUAAAAAUUAUUAGUGGGAGACGCCUCUUUCUGCCUGUUACCAUCAUUUAUGUCGACACGAAGUUAUAAAAUCUUUUUACCCUAAGGGUAGCGGUCUUUUUUGCUCUCUCGCCAUGUUGCAUGAUCUGUCACAAUGGUGAACAUAUAAUGCUUGGCCAUCAAUUCAAUGCCAAAAUCUCGAGUUGCGUGAAAGUGAAAUGCUGAUCUCGUUAUCUUCCCAUUUUGGCCAUCAACAAAAUUUAACACGUCUUCUGUAAGCAUUUCAUUUGAAAUGUGUUUGGCGUUAUGGCAACACUUAUUUAACUGCCAAUUGUUGUGUGUGGCGUGCGAAGAGAGUAGCAAUAAAAGCAGCAGCGAAAAGAAAAAAAAAACCAACUUUGGCAGGUGUUUUCAGCGCAAUCAAGGCAACUGUGUGAGAUAAUCUCUGCUCAUUAUUUGCAACCGACAACGAGAAGAAGAACAGCAACAACAGCAACAGCAGCCAGAUUUGCUGUUAAUAAGUGGGUGGCGUGAGAAAGAAUAUUGCUUGGAAUUUCAUGAUUAUGUUGGCCUGGCUUUGAGACUGAGUCGGAGUCUGAGCCUUUGCCUUUGCCUUCGCCAUCGCCUGGGCUCUCUCGCUCGUUACAUAAUUAAUUAUGGGGGUGCGUUCCAUGCAAAACAAGUGCACCGCCUGCCGCGCUCACACAUAAAUUAUGAAAGCCAAACAACAGCAUUGAGUACCGUUAAGUUAAUAACUGCCUUUAAAAGCUGCACUGAAAACACAAAAAAAAAACCAAAAACAAAAAAACUAAAAAUAAACUAGAAAGAAAAACCUUACAAAAAAAAAAAAAAUAGGGAGAAAAAGUGCGGGCAGCGACGCAAGUAAACUCAGCUGGCACUUCAGCCCGGUUCAUUACGGCAACGCUCACUUCCACUUGCAAUUAGUUCUAUGAAUGAAUUUAUGCUAAUUAUAGGCUGCCAGACAAACAACAGGCAACAAACGGCGUCCCAUCGACCGACACGCUUUUAAUAAGCCACUGGCAACUUUGUAGUUUUUUUUAUUUUACCCAUAUUUUUUUUUGGACAACGUAAAAGUUUUUCAUUGUUGAGAGCGGCAUUGGCAAUGGCAUCACCUGCUAACCCACAAAAAUAUAAUGAGCCAUUGACCGAACUAGAAGAAUAAACGAGACGAAUGAACGAAACGAACGAAGCGAAAGAACGGUACAUAUGCGUGUGUGUGUUGCUGUGUGUGUGGCAAUGCGGUUAGAAUCGAAUCUUGCGGUUACGAACGCUUCAGAGCUGGAGGCCGCCUGCAUUUUCCAUAAUUUCCAUGCGAGUGAGCAUAUCAAAGAGACCAAAACCAAAACCAAAACGAAAAACCAAGACCAAAAAAAAAAAAAAACAUUUUAAUUAACAUAUAUGUCUAUCAAUUUCACUAAUUGAACGUUAACAAGCCAGCUCGCUCGCCUAGGGAGCCGCCAGCCUGUGAGCAACGGAUUCUGAUUAGAACGCAUCUAUCAAUCAUGUUAACUAAUCUCUCUUCCACGCUCUCUUAUGCCUGUAAGCUAACAAACAUUUCUGGUUAUUAGGUGAGAUAUUAAAGAAGUGUUCUGUGGAAAUGCAAAGGCUUCAAGUGAAGGGAUUAGAUCUGAAGUUAGAGUGCUUCUAAUAUGAAUACGAAUCCGAAUGUCUAUUGGCCUCGUCAAUCAUUUAAUUUGCAUUGACUGAGCAUUUGAUUUAGGCCUUUGAAUUGUUUUGGCUAAUGGAUUUGGGUGGUAUGACCAUUAACCCAUUUGUCUGCCAAUAAAUGCAAAUGCGCGUUUGCUAAUUGGCAAUGGCAACGGAAAUUCAAUUAGAAAUCAGGUUCAUUUCGUUUAG